AGACACCCUUAUGGGGCUAGACUUGCUUCAGUGGGGCUUUGGUGCUCACUGAGUCUGCCCCCUGAGUGUGUCCCU
This is a non-coding RNA of Myotis lucifugus (little brown bat), 75 nucleotides long. NCBI's taxonomy places the organism in Eukaryota, Metazoa, Chordata, Mammalia, Chiroptera, Vespertilionidae. The record is from Rfam.